This 519-nucleotide ribosomal RNA is filed under the name Fusarium equiseti. RNAcentral's name for it is "eukaryotic LSU rRNA". The stretch from base 182 to 335 matches the Rfam family "5.8S ribosomal RNA". The record is from RNAcentral. Lineage: Eukaryota; Fungi; Ascomycota; Sordariomycetes; Hypocreales; Nectriaceae.
UUCCGUAGGGGGGACCUGCGGAGGGAUCAUUACCGAGUUUACAACUCCCAAACCCCUGUGAACAUACCUAUACGUUGCCUCGGCGGAUCAGCCCGCGCCCCGUAAAAAGGGACGGCCCGCCCGAGGACCCCUAAACUCUGUUUUUAGUGGAACUUCUGAGUAAAACAAACAAAUAAAUCAAAACUUUCAACAACGGAUCUCUUGGUUCUGGCAUCGAUGAAGAACGCAGCAAAAUGCGAUAAGUAAUGUGAAUUGCAGAAUUCAGUGAAUCAUCGAAUCUUUGAACGCACAUUGCGCCCGCCAGUAUUCUGGCGGGCAUGCCUGUUCGAGCGUCAUUUCAACCCUCAAGCUCAGCUUGGUGUUGGGACUCGCGGUAACCCGCGUUCCCCAAAUCGAUUGGCGGUCACGUCGAGCUUCCAUAGCGUAGUAAUCAUACACCUCGUUACUGGUAAUCGUCGCGGCCACGCCGUAAAACCCCAACUUCUGAAUGUGACCUCGGAUCAGGUAGAUGCCCAUUCG